GAUGAACGCUAGCGGCAGGCCUAACACAUGCAAGUCGAGGGGUAACUAGAGUGAUAGCAAUAUUACUUUGGCUAGACCGGCGCACGGGUGCGUAACACGUAUGCAACCUACCUUAUACUGGGGAAUAACUUCGAGAAAUCGGCGCUAAUACCCCAUAACAUUGCGAAGAGGCAUCUCUUUGCAAUUAAAGCUCCGGCGGUAUAAGAUGGGCAUGCGUCCAAUUAGCUAGUUGGUGAGGUAACGGCUCACCAAGGCUACGAUUGGUAGGGGUUCUGAGAGGAUGAGCACCCACACUGGUACUUGGACACCGACCAGACUCCUACGGGAGGCAGCAGUGAGGAAUAUUGCGCAAUGGACGAAAGUCUGACGCAGCCAUGCCGCGUGCAGGAUGACGGCCCUAUGGGUUGUAAACUGCUUUUAUACGGGAAUAAACCCUUCUACGUGUAGGAGGCUGAAGGUACCGUAAGAAUAAGCACCGGCUAACUCCGUGCCAGCCGCCGCAGUAA
RNAcentral lists this ribosomal RNA (506 nucleotides) under uncultured bacterium. Its description in RNAcentral is "partial 16S ribosomal RNA". It matches the Rfam family "Bacterial small subunit ribosomal RNA", at positions 28 to 523 of the family's 1533-position model. The record is from RNAcentral.